RNAcentral lists this ribosomal RNA (497 nucleotides) under uncultured bacterium. Its description in RNAcentral is "partial 16S ribosomal RNA". It matches the Rfam family "Bacterial small subunit ribosomal RNA", at positions 28 to 507 of the family's 1533-position model. The record is from RNAcentral.
GAUGAGCGCUGGCGGCGUGCCUAAUACAUGCAAGUCGAGCGAACAGACGAGGAGCUUGCUCCUCUGACGUUAGCGGCGGACGGGUGAGUAACACGUGGAUAACCUACCUAUAAGACUGGGAUAACUUCGGGAAACCGGAGCUAAUACCGGAUAAUAUAUUGAACCGCAUGGUUCAAUAGUGAAAGACGGUUUUGCUGUCACUUAUAGAUGGAUCCGCGCCGCAUUAGCUAGUUGGUAAGGUAACGGCUUACCAAGGCGACGAUGCGUAGCCGACCUGAGAGGGUGAUCGGCCACACUGGAACUGAGACACGGUCCAGACUCCUACGGGAGGCAGCAGUAGGGAAUCUUCCGCAAUGGGCGAAAGCCUGACGGAGCAACGCCGCGUGAGUGAUGAAGGUCUUCGGAUCGUAAAACUCUGUUAUUAGGGAAGAACAAAUGUGUAAGUAACUAUGCACGUCUUGACGGUACCUAAUCAGAAAGCCACGGCUAACUACGUG